GGGAAUAAACAGGAGGUGGCGGCGGCGGUGGAGAUAAGUAUGGAUAAAUUGGUGGAGGAGGUGAAUGUGGUGGUGGUGGUGGAGAAUGUACCGGAGGUGGCGGUGAAUGGUGUGGCGGUGGCGGGGAGUUAUAGUAGUAAGGAACUGGUGGAGGUGGGGAAAACAAUGGAGGUGGUGGAGGGGGUGAAUUUGGUGGUGGAGGAGGUGGAGACCUCACACAGUAUACUGGUGAAGGUGGUGGAGGAGAUGGUGGAGGUGGUGAUGGAUAAGUAGGUGGCGGGGGUGAUGGUGGAGGUGGGGAUGGAGGUGGUGGUGGUGGAGAGUAAACUGGUGGAGGUGGUGAAGGUGGUGGAGGUGAGGGGGGUGGUGGUGGAGGUGAAUACACAGGUGGCGGGGGCGAUGGUGGAGGCGGAGGAGGAGAGUACACAGGUGGCGGCGGAGGUGGAGGUGGUGAAGGGGGAGGGGGAGAGUAUACUGGCGGUGGCGGCGGCGGAGGUGGUGAUUGUGGAAUAAAAACAGGCGAUGGGGGUGGCGGUGACAGCACAACAACCGGCGGCGGAGAAGGCGGAGGAGGAGACGGCAAAGAAGGAACAAAAGGAGCAC
This 603-nucleotide long non-coding RNA is filed under the name Gossypium raimondii (Peruvian cotton). RNAcentral describes it as "long non-coding RNA (GRAI_LNC000005)". The record is from RNAcentral. Lineage: Eukaryota; Viridiplantae; Streptophyta; Magnoliopsida; Malvales; Malvaceae.